GACGAACGCUGGCGGCGUGCUUAACACAUGCAAGUCGAACGAAGGGCGAUGGAAGCUUGCUUCUAUCAAUCUUAGUGGCGAACGGGUGAGUAACGCGUAAUCAACCUGCCCUUCAGAGGGGGACAACAGUUGGAAACGACUGCUAAUACCGCAUACGAUCUAAUCUCGGCAUCGAGGAUAGAUGAAAGGUGGCCUCUACAUGUAAGCUAUCACUGAAGGAGGGGAUUGCGUCUGAUUAGCUAGUUGGAGGGGUAACGGCCCACCAAGGCGAUGAUCAGUGGCCGGUCUGAGAGGAUGAACGGCCACAUUGGGACUGAGACACGGCACAGACUCCUACGGGAGGCAGCAGUGGGGAAUCUUCCGCAAUGGACGAAAGUCUGACGGAGCAACGCCGCGUGAGUGAUGACGGCCUUCGGGUUGUAAAGCUCUGUUAAUCGGGACGAAAGGCCUUCUUGCGAAUAGUGAGAAGGAUUGACGGUACCGGAAUAGAAAGCCACGGCUAACUACGUG
RNAcentral lists this ribosomal RNA (510 nucleotides) under uncultured bacterium. Its description in RNAcentral is "partial 16S ribosomal RNA". It matches the Rfam family "Bacterial small subunit ribosomal RNA", at positions 28 to 507 of the family's 1533-position model. The record is from RNAcentral.